CAGUAGCCGCGGGAAUACGAAGGGUGCAAGCGUUAAUCGGAAUUACUGGGCGUAAAGCGUGCGCAGGCGGUUUGUUAAGACAGAUGUGAAAUCCCCGGGCUCAACCUGGGAACUGCAUUUGUGACUGGCAAGCUAGAGUGUGGCAGAGGGGGGUGGAAUUCCGCGUGUAGCAGUGAAAUGCGUAGAUAUGCGGAGGAACACCGAUGGCGAAGGCAGCCCCCUGGGCCAACACUGACGCUCAUGCACGAAAGCGUGGGGAGCAAACAGGAUUAGAGACCCCUGUAGUCCCUGUCUCUUAUAC
This 301-nucleotide ribosomal RNA is filed under the name uncultured bacterium. Its description in RNAcentral is "partial 16S ribosomal RNA". It matches the Rfam family "Bacterial small subunit ribosomal RNA", at positions 509 to 807 of the family's 1533-position model. The record is from RNAcentral.